UGAACGCUGGCGGCGUGCCUAAUACAUGCAAGUCGAACGAAUCUCUUCGGAGAUGAGUGGCGAACGGGUGAGUAAUACAUAGGUAACCUGCCCCUGUGCGGGGGAUAACAGGAGGAAACUCCUGCUAAUACCGCAUAGCCAUGAGCACCGCAUGGAGCUCAUGCCAAAUAUCCUUUCGGGGAUAGCGCAGGGAUGGACCUAUGGCGCAUUAGCUUGUUGGCGGGGCAACGGCCCACCAAGGCAACGAUGCGUAGCCGGCCUGAGAGGGCGGACGGCCACAUUGGGACUGAGACACGGCCCAGACUCCUACGGGAGGCAGCAGUAGGGAAUUUUCGGCAAUGGGGGAAACCCUGACCGAGCAACGCCGCGUGAGCGAAGAAGGCCUUCGGGUCGUAAAGCUCUGUUGUAAAGGAAGAACAGCGCAUACAGGAAAUGGUAUGCGAGUGACGGUACUUUACCAGAAAGCCACGGCUAACUACGUGCCAGCAGCCGCGGUAAUACGUAGGUGGCGAGCGUUAUCCGGAAUCAUUGGGCGUAAAGAGGGAGCAGGCGGCCGCAAGGGUCUGUGGUGAAAGACCGAAGCUAAACUUCGGUAAGCCAUGGAAACCGGGCGGCUAGAGUGCGGAAGAGGAUCGUGGAAUUCCAUGUGUAGCGGUGAAAUGCGUAGAUAUAUGGAGGAACACCAGUGGCGAAGGCGACGGUCUGGGCCGCAACUGACGCUCAUUCCCGAAAGCGUGGGGAGCAAAUAGGAUUAGAUACCCUAGUAGUCCACGCCGUAAACGAUGGUCACUAAGUGUCGGGGGUCAAACCCCGGUGCUGCAGUCAACGCAAUAAGUGACCCGCCUGAGUAGUACGUUCGCAAGAAUGAAACUCAAAGGAAUUGACGG
This 887-nucleotide ribosomal RNA is filed under the name uncultured bacterium. RNAcentral describes it as "bacterial SSU rRNA". It matches the Rfam family "Bacterial small subunit ribosomal RNA", at positions 30 to 916 of the family's 1533-position model. The record is from RNAcentral.